UCGGCUGAGAGUGACCUCGGCUGCGUCUGACCUCGGCUGGGAUCACGGCUGCGUCCUCCGUGCUUUCCUUCCUAUGAAAACCUCGCUCAGGAACACGAGGAGCGACAGCAGAUUGCCUGGAGUGUCAGCGGGGUAAUACUCUCCCCCGGACGACCCCGCCUAGGCCGCCCUCCCCCCCUCCCUGCCUCUUGGCCUCACCUCCAGCAUAGACCGUGAAGACGCCGUAGAAGUCGCCGAGGUCCAGGGGUCGGAGGGCGUCGCUCGGCCGCGUGAAGUCGUCCAUCUGACACUUGCGGAGGUGCUGGAUCUGCUCCCUGUAGAGGUGCUCCGGGAUGCCGAACUCGAUCAGCCGCUGAAGUCUGCGUGCGGAACCAGUGCAAGAUGUAACAGCCAUCGCCCUCUGUGCUAUACGACACAGGUCACACGGCACGAGGCACUCGAGAUUCAAGAUUUACAGAGGGCGCCUCUACGACCAAGGCCAUGUUUUCGGCUGCUAUGUGCCCCUGUGCCAGCAUGGCUGCCUUCAGGACUGGCACUUUUACCUGGAAGACGGUAGUCGCCCUCCUGUUUCCAUUACUUUUUGUUCACGUAUUAGGUGGUGGAACCGUCGUCUUUCAUUUACAACUUCGCAAGUGUACGAGAAACUAUAAUACUUUUAUAAUAUAACGAGCAAACAUAACAUAACAUAAUAGACUCUGUACUAUA
RNAcentral lists this long non-coding RNA (705 nucleotides) under Penaeus japonicus. Its description in RNAcentral is "uncharacterized LOC122242519". The record is from RNAcentral. Lineage: Eukaryota; Metazoa; Arthropoda; Malacostraca; Decapoda; Penaeidae.